UGAUAAACCCUGUCAUAGUGGAGCAAGUUCAGGUGUUUAACCGCUGUUAUGGGGGAUCUGCCUUUUCUCCCUCUUCUUUCUUACUUCCAUAAGUAUGUAUGUGCAGAGAUUGAAAAAUAACCUUGAGAGAGUCCAUCCAUCUAACUCCAGGCUGGAGUGCAGUGGCGUGAUUUUGGCUCACUGUAUCCUUCGCCUCCCUGGCUCAAGUGAUUCUCCUGCCUCAGCCUCCCAAGUAGCUUGGAUUACAGAGGUUGUUGGCUUCCAUCAGGGGUGGUCAUUUCCAAUCAGACACCUAAGAACUCCUGCUAAUGGGCAAUGAUGGAGGCACAUUCUAGAUGGAGGCACAUUCUAGAAACGCUUGAAACUGUGUGUUGCUUUGGACA
RNAcentral lists this long non-coding RNA (383 nucleotides) under Homo sapiens (human). Its description in RNAcentral is "non-protein coding lnc-NBN-1:4". The record is from RNAcentral. Lineage: Eukaryota; Metazoa; Chordata; Mammalia; Primates; Hominidae.